Molecule: ribosomal RNA, 468 nt
Filed under: uncultured bacterium
Lineage: Bacteria
Description: partial 16S ribosomal RNA
Rfam family: Bacterial small subunit ribosomal RNA
Source: RNAcentral
GACGAACGCUGGCGGCGUGCUUAACACAUGCAAGUCGAACGGAAAGGCCCGGCUUUUGGGGGGUGCUCGAGGGGCGACCGGGUGAGUAACACGUGAGUAACCUGCCCUUGACUUUGGGAUAACUUCAGGAAACUGGGGCUAAUACCAGAUAAGAGCUCCUGCUGCAUGGUGGGGGUUGGAAAGUUUCGGCGGUUGGGGGGUGAAUCGCGGCUUAUCAGCUUGUUCGUGGGGUGGUGGCUUACCAAGGCUUGGAAGGGUGGCCUGCCUGGGAGGGUGACCGGCCCCACUGGGCUUGGACUGCGGCCCGGCCCCGUCCGGGACGCAGCAGUGGGGAAGAUUGCACUAUGCGCGGAGGCCUGAUGUAGCAACGCCGCGUGCGGGAUGACGUCCUUCGGUUUGUAAACCGAUUCCGCUUUUGCCGAAGCGUUAGUGACGGUAACGGGUAAAUAAGCACCGGCUAACUCCGUG